UACGAAGGGUGCAAGCGUUAAUCGGAAUUACUGGGCGUAAAGCGCGCGUAGGUGGUUCGUUAAGUUGGAUGUGAAAGCCCCGGGCUCAACCUGGGAACUGCAUCCAAAACUGGCGAGCUAGAGUACGGUAGAGGGUGGUGGAAUUUCCUGUGUCGCGGUGAAAUGCGUAGAUAUAGGAAGGAACACCAGUGGCGAAGGCGACCACCUGGACUGAUACUGACACUGAGGUGCGAAAGCGUGGGGAGCAAACAGG
This 253-nucleotide ribosomal RNA is filed under the name uncultured bacterium. Its description in RNAcentral is "partial 16S ribosomal RNA". It matches the Rfam family "Bacterial small subunit ribosomal RNA", at positions 524 to 776 of the family's 1533-position model. The record is from RNAcentral.